RNAcentral lists this ribosomal RNA (772 nucleotides) under Nectria pseudotrichia. RNAcentral describes it as "partial large subunit ribosomal RNA". It matches the Rfam family "Eukaryotic large subunit ribosomal RNA", at positions 114 to 917 of the family's 3401-position model. RNAcentral also lists the same sequence under 1 other name. Lineage: Eukaryota; Fungi; Ascomycota; Sordariomycetes; Hypocreales; Nectriaceae. The record is from RNAcentral.
UUUGAAAUCUGGCCCUCGUGGUCCGAGUUGUAAUUUGUAGAGGAUGCUUUUGGUUAGGUGCCUUCCGAGUUCCCUGGAACGGGACGCCAUAGAGGGUGAGAGCCCCGUCUGGUUGGACACCGAGCCUCUGUAAAGCUCCUUCGACGAGUCGAGUAGUUUGGGAAUGCUGCUCUAAAUGGGAGGUAUAUGUCUUCUAAAGCUAAAUAUUGGCCAGAGACCGAUAGCGCACAAGUAGAGUGAUCGAAAGAUGAAAAGCACUUUGAAAAGAGGGUUAAAAAGUACGUGAAAUUGUUGAAAGGGAAGCGCUUGUGACCAGACUUGGGCCCGGUCAAUCAUCCAGGGUUCUCCCUGGUGCACUUGGCCGGCCCAGGCCAGCAUCAGUUUGUCGCGGGGGAUAAAGACGUUGGGAAUGUGGCUCCUCCGGGAGUGUUAUAGCCCUUCGUGUAAUACCCUGCUUCGGACUGAGGUUCGCGCAUCUGCAAGGAUGCUGGCGUAAUGGUCAUCAGCGACCCGUCUUGAAACACGGACCAAGGAGUCGUCUUCGUAUGCGAGUGUUCGGGUGUCAAACCCCUACGCGUAAUGAAAGUGAACGCAGGUGAGAGCUUCGGCGCAUCAUCGACCGAUCCUGAUGUUCUCGGAUGGAUUUGAGUAAGAGCAUACGGGGCCGGACCCGAAAGAAGGUGAACUAUGCCUGUAUAGGGUGAAGCCAGAGGAAACUCUGGUGGAGGCUCGCAGCGGUUCUGACGUGCAAAUCGAUCGUCAAAUAUGGGCA